This 207-nucleotide ribosomal RNA is filed under the name uncultured Jannaschia sp. RNAcentral describes it as "partial 16S ribosomal RNA". It matches the Rfam family "Bacterial small subunit ribosomal RNA", at positions 568 to 774 of the family's 1533-position model. Lineage: Bacteria; Pseudomonadati; Pseudomonadota; Alphaproteobacteria; Rhodobacterales; Roseobacteraceae. The record is from RNAcentral.
UACGUAGGCGGAUUAGUCAGUCAGAGGUGAAAUCCCAGGGCUCAACCCUGGAACUGCCUUUGAUACUGCUAGUCUUGAGUUCGAGAGAGGUGAGUGGAAUUCCGAGUGUAGAGGUGAAAUUCGUAGAUAUUCGGAGGAACACCAGUGGCGAAGGCGGCUCACUGGCUCGAUACUGACGCUGAGGUACGAAAGUGUGGGGAGCAAACA